RNAcentral lists this ribosomal RNA (546 nucleotides) under bacterium enrichment culture clone Cont100_3130. Its description in RNAcentral is "partial 16S ribosomal RNA". It matches the Rfam family "Bacterial small subunit ribosomal RNA", at positions 8 to 525 of the family's 1533-position model. The record is from RNAcentral.
AGAGUUUGAUCMUGGCUCAGAAYGAACGCUGGCGGCGUGCUUAACACAUGCAAAGUCGAACGAGAAAAGCCUGAUUUCGGUUGGGCGAGUAAAGUGGCGCACGGGUGAGUAACGCGUAGACAACCUACCCCCGGGACYGGGAUAACAGAGCGAAAGCUCUGCUAAUACCGGAUACGAUCUUGAGGCGGGAGCUUUGAGGUGAAAGUCGGCCACUCGCAGAAGCUGACGUUCGGGGAUGGGUCUGCGUCCUAUCAGCUAGUUGGUAGGGUAACGGCCUACCAAGGCGACGACGGGUAGCUGGUCUGAGAGGAUGAUCAGCCACACUGGCACUGGAACACGGGCCAGACUCCUACGGGAGGCAGCAGUGAGGAAUUUUGCGCAAAUGGGAGCAAUCCUGACGCAGCRACGCCGCGUGGRUGAWGAAGGCCCUUGGGUCGUAAAAUCCUGUCAGAUGGAAAGAAAUGUACAGGUGUUAAUAUCGCCUGUAUUUGACGGUACCAUCAAAGGAAGCAACCGGCUAACUCCGUGCCAGCAGCCGCGGUAAUA